RNAcentral lists this ribosomal RNA (484 nucleotides) under uncultured bacterium. RNAcentral describes it as "partial 16S ribosomal RNA". It matches the Rfam family "Bacterial small subunit ribosomal RNA", at positions 30 to 507 of the family's 1533-position model. The record is from RNAcentral.
AUUGAACGCUGGCGGCAGGCCUAACACAUGCAAGUCGAGCGGAUGAAGGGAGUUUGCUCCUGGAUUCAGCGGCGGACGGGUGAGUAAUGCCUAGGAAUCUGCCUGGUAGUGGGGGAUAACGUCCGGAAACGGGCGCUAAUACCGCAUACGUCCUGAGGGAGAAAGUGGGGGAUCUUCGGACCUCACGCUAUCAGAUGAGCCUAGGUCGGAUUAGCUAGUUGGUGGGGUAAAGGCCUACCAAGGCGACGAUCCGUAACUGGUCUGAGAGGAUGAUCAGUCACACUGGAACUGAGACACGGUCCAGACUCCUACGAGAGGCAGCAGUGGGGAAUAUUGGACAAUGGGCGAAAGCCUGAUCCAGCCAUGCCGCGUGUGUGAAGAAGGUCUUCGGAUUGUAAAGCACUUUAAGUUGGGAGGAAGGGCAGUAAGUUAAUACCUUGCUGUUUUGACGUUACCAACAGAAUAAGCACCGGCUAACUUCGUG